UACGGAGGGUGCAAGCGUUAUCCGGAUUCACUGGGUUUAAAGGGUGCGUAGGUGGGCAGGUAAGUCAGUGGUGAAAUCUCCGGGCUUAACCCGGAAACUGCCGUUGAUACUAUCUGUCUUGAAUAUAGUGGAGGUGAGCGGAAUAUGUCAUGUAGCGAUGAAAUGCUUAGAUAUGACAUAGAACACCCAUUGCGAAGGCAGCUCGCUACACUAUCAUUGACACUGAGGCACGAAAGCGUGGGGAUCAAACAGG
RNAcentral lists this ribosomal RNA (253 nucleotides) under uncultured bacterium. RNAcentral's name for it is "partial 16S ribosomal RNA". It matches the Rfam family "Bacterial small subunit ribosomal RNA", at positions 524 to 776 of the family's 1533-position model. The record is from RNAcentral.